Molecule: ribosomal RNA, 468 nt
Filed under: uncultured bacterium
Lineage: Bacteria
Description: partial 16S ribosomal RNA
Rfam family: Bacterial small subunit ribosomal RNA
Source: RNAcentral
GACGAACGCUGGCGGCGUGCUUAACACAUGCAAGUCGAACGGAAAGGCCCUGCUUUUGUGGGGUGCUCGAGUGGCGAAGGGGUGAGUAACACGUGAGUAACCUGCUCUUGACUUUGGGAUAACUUCAGGAAACUGGGGCUAAUACCGGAUAGGAGCCCCUGCUGCAUGGUGGGGGUUGGAUAGUCGCGGCGGGUGGGGAUGGACGCGCGGCUUAUCAGCUUGUUGGUGGGGGAGUGGCUUACCAAGGCAUGGACGGGUAGCCGGCCUGAGAGGGGGACCGGCCACAAUGGGACUGAGAGACGGCCCAGACUCCUACGGGGGGCAGCAGUCGGGAAUAUUGCACAAUGGUCGGAAGCCUGAUGCAGCAGCGCCGCGUUCGUGAUGACGGCCUGCUGGUUGUAAACCGCUUUCGCCUGUGACGAAGCGUUAGUGACGGUAAUGGGUAAAGAAGCACCGGCUAACUACGUG